Molecule: long non-coding RNA, 1760 nt
Filed under: Cicer arietinum (chickpea)
Lineage: Eukaryota; Viridiplantae; Streptophyta; Magnoliopsida; Fabales; Fabaceae
Description: long non-coding RNA (CARI_LNC002642)
Source: RNAcentral
GGAAAUGGAAAAGUGUGGGGUUACUCUAUCCAUUAAUGAGAAUAAAAGUUAUUUAUUGACCGCUUCAUGUAACCUUAGGUUCAACAUUUAAAUCUUUGCAAGAGGUAAGAUUGUACAGUUGUGUUUGAGUUUAUUUAUUUUAUUUUAUUUAAAUAAAUUAUAUUAAAUUUACAUUAUUUAAUAAUUUUAUUAUAGUUAAAUAAAUUUGAAGUAUUUAUAAAAUUUUAGUUUUAAUUUUUGUUGAAAUGAAAUAUUUUAAAAAUUUUCAAUAAAUUUUACAAAUUUUGUUAAAAUAAAAUAUUUUUUAUUAUAGUUAAAUAUUUAUAAGAACGAAAAAAUUUAUUUAACUAUUAUUUUUUUCUCAUAUAAAAAUUAUUAGUUAUAGAAAACAAAUUAAUUAUAUACAUAUUACAAAAUUCAUAAUUGAAUUGAAAAUAUAUAUCUUAUAAAUUAUUUUUGUAAAUUUUUACAAAAAUUUAAAAUUAUUUUUAUGCUAUUAAUAUAUAUCAAAGUUAUAAUUUUAUAUUUACCACAAUGAUAUACCUCAACAGUAGUUUUAAUAUACCUCAAUGAUAUAUUAAAAUAUUUUAUAUUUACAUUAAAAUUUAUAGACUUUAUCUACAUAAUUUAACACUUAUCAAUCGAGUUAGUAUAAUAUGAGAGGUAAAAAGUUUAGAUUUACAUAAAUAUGUCAUCACGAGUUUAAUCUACAUGUAUAUGUGAAAAUUUAAUAUUUGACAACACAAUUUAUAUUUUGAGGACCAAAGUUAAUAAUUAGUAGAUGAGGAUAAGGAAAUUGAUUUGGUUGAAGGAGGGGGCAUUUCUCAUGAGUCAUGUUACACUCCCAAUCCAACUUGUAUUCUUUUUUUUUUUUUUUUUUCACAUAUUUUUUUAAUUUUUUUUUACAAAAUGAUAAUUUUCAUAAAAAGAGAUAAAUAAAAAAUAGACUAGAAGAAUAUGGAAGUGAUUAAUUUCUGAAAGUAAGUACAAGAAAUUUACGAGUAUUAUUUUUUUAGAGACCAGAAGUAAUAAUUAUUUUAUUUUAGAAUCAAAAAAAAUAUUUUUUUUAGUGACAAAUGUCACAAAUAAAGAUACCGAUAUUCUUUUAAAGGAUUAAUAUCUUUUAGUAAAUAUUUAAUUAAAGAUCAAACUCAUAAUCAUAUAUUUAAAGAUUCAGUUAUGUAUCAACUCUAUUAUACUAUACUAGUGGAUUAAAAACUAAUUUGAGCAUACUUAAUAAUUUAUUUUAUGUAACGUUUAAUCUCUUUAACAAUUUAUUAUCUCUUCUAAUGUUAGUAUAUCGCAAAAUCAAAGUAACUAUUGAUUAAGGGAAAAGGGAUAUGCAAUAAAUUCUAAAUUAAUUUUAUAUUGACAUUCAAUAUAAAUUUAUUAUUUUACAUUUAUUUUUAUUUUUAAAUUACCGUUACAUGAUAAAGAUACUGAGUUAUAUCAGUGUAAAAUUAAUUUAAAUCUAUAUAAUGUGACAAAAUAUUAUGAUUUAUGUCUAUGUAAAACUGAUUUAGACCUAUUAUGCAUCUUGUUAAUCUCAUUCUUAUCUAUUGCUUCAAUUUCAAAGACAUGGAGUGUUUGCUUCAACAUUCAAUCACAUCUUGUUCUCUUUUCUCUCACAAGCAAAGCAAAAGGAUAACAAAUACUACUCCUCACAUCAAUUAUCCUACGCAACAUAAAUAUAAUUAAGGGUGUUUUAGUUAAUUAAAUUUAGGUUGUCCUUAAAUUAAAUGAAAAAAAAAAUAUCUAUA